UUUUAAAUUGAGAGUUUGAUCCUGGCUCAGGACGAACGCUGGCGGCGUGCCUAACACAUGCAAGUCGAGCGAUGAAACUUCCUUCGGGAAGUGGAUUAGCGGCAGACGGGUGAGUAACACGUGGGUAACCUGCCUCAAAGAGUGGGAUAGCCUCCCGAAAGGGAGAUUAAUACCGCAUAACAUUAUUUUAUGGCAUCAUAAAAUAAUCAAAGGAGCAAUCCGCUUUGAGAUGGACCCGCGGCGCAUUAGCUAGUUGGUGAGGUAACGGCUCACCAAGGCAACGAUGCGUAGCCGACCUGAGAGGGUGAUCGGCCACAUUGGAACUGAGACACGGUCCAGACUCCUACGGGAGGCAGCAGUGGGGAAUAUUGCGCAAUGGGGGAAACCCUGACGCAGCAACGCCGCGUGAGUGAUGAAGGUUUUCGGAUCGUAAAACUCUGUCUUUAGGGACGAUAAUGACGGUACCUAAGGAGGAAGCCACGGCUAACUACGUGCCAGCAGCCGCGGUAAUACGUAGGUGGCAAGCGUUGUCCGGAUU
RNAcentral lists this ribosomal RNA (538 nucleotides) under Clostridium botulinum C/D str. DC5. Its description in RNAcentral is "bacterial SSU rRNA". It matches the Rfam family "Bacterial small subunit ribosomal RNA", at positions 1 to 551 of the family's 1533-position model. The record is from RNAcentral. Lineage: Bacteria; Bacillati; Bacillota; Clostridia; Eubacteriales; Clostridiaceae.